AAAGAUGGCUCAGUGGUUGUGAGCACUUGCUGGCUGUCCUUCCAGAGGAUCUGGGUUCAAUUCCCAGCAUCUUCG
Molecule: transfer RNA, 75 nt
Filed under: Mesocricetus auratus (golden hamster)
Lineage: Eukaryota; Metazoa; Chordata; Mammalia; Rodentia; Cricetidae
Source: Rfam by way of RNAcentral